This is a long non-coding RNA of Sander lucioperca (pikeperch), 781 nucleotides long. RefSeq lists it as uncharacterized. The transcript has 3 exons. The record is from RefSeq and is a predicted model, not a curated record. Lineage: Eukaryota; Metazoa; Chordata; Actinopteri; Perciformes; Percidae.
AUCCUGGAAAAAUCUCCCCAAGGGCGUGUAUACAGGGAUCACAAGCUUCUGUCAACCAAGAACACAUCGUUGUUGGAUUAUUGCACUUUUAAUCUGUCUUUUCUCAAUUAUAAAUCCGAGCAAAACUUUAAUAAAGUUGUGACUUGUUUGACAGAACUUGCCACUGUUUUAAAGACAUUUUCAAUCCCACUGAAAUGAAAAAUAAUCCUCUUCUUCUGCUGCACAAUAAUGAAGAUUUCUUUAACAAAUUCCCCAAAUUAUAAAUUAUUAUUGCUUUUUUUUUGGGCCAGAGAUAACCAGGAAGAGACGUAUCUCCUUGCUUGUCUUCAUCAUCAAAAACGACAAGAUAGAUGUGUCACUUCCGGCUGCCAUGUUUGUUUGGUUCAACUGUAACAGAUAUGUGAUGUGGCCCACACCCUUUCUGUGAUGUGGUCCUCAUCUGGCUCUGUCGUGUCUUGACAGAGUUCUAGGCUGGCCACAUUCAGGUUGAGUCAUCGGCAUGAUUCUGCACGGUAUCUGGGCCUGAAGGAAGUGACAGAUGUGGGCUCCAGUUACAUGCUGUCUGUGUUCCUUGUAAAUCCACGUCUGUAUAUUCUGAACCCGACCGUCGAUAAAACCUGCUAAAUCAUUUUACUUGAUCGUGUAAUUGUUCAGUAGUGUUUUUGUAAGUUAAGUCUCAGUGUCUGCCAUAGUUUCUCCCAUCACUGAGCCACACAUUGACCUUAAAGAACCCUGGUAUGGGUCAGUGGAGAGUUCCCAUGAUGUCCAUGAUGGCCUAAAA